Molecule: transfer RNA, 73 nt
Filed under: Marmota monax (woodchuck)
Lineage: Eukaryota; Metazoa; Chordata; Mammalia; Rodentia; Sciuridae
Description: tRNA.Ala
Source: RNAcentral
UGUGGCUAUAGCUCAGUGGUAUAGCGCUUGUCUAGCAUGCACGAGGCACUGGGUUUAAUCCUCAGCACCACAA